Non-coding RNA from Sus scrofa (pig), 7028 nucleotides. The record is from RefSeq and is a predicted model, not a curated record. NCBI's taxonomy places the organism in Eukaryota, Metazoa, Chordata, Mammalia, Artiodactyla, Suidae.
UGUAAAUUGAUGCAGCCACUAUGGAUGACAGCAUGAAGGUUCUUCAAAAAAUUAAAAAUAGAGUUGCCAUAUGAUCCAGCAACCCCACUCCUGGGCAUAUAUUCAGAGAAAACCAUAAUUCAAAUAGAUAUAUGUGGAGUUCUCACCGUGGUGCAAUGGUUUAAGAAUCUGACUGCAGUGGCUUGGGUUGCUGCAGAAGUGUGGGUUUGAUCCCAGGCCUGGCAGAAUGGGUUAAAGAAUUCCAAGUUGCCACAGCUGCGGGAUAGGUCACACCUGUGGCUUGGGUCGUUCCCUGGGCUGGGAUCUCCAUCUUGCCACCAAACAAACAAACAAACAAACAAACCCCAAAAGCAAAGCACAACAACAGAUGAAUUUAGUUACAAAACGGAAAGAGACUCACAGACAUAGAGAAUAGAUUUUUUUUGUUGCCAAGGGUUGGGGGUGGUGGAGGGAUGGAUUGGGAGUUUGGGCUUAGCAGAUGCUAACUAUUACAUACAGAAUAGAUAAACAACAAGGUCCUAAUGUGUAUCACAGGGAACUGUAUUCAAUAUCUUGUAAUAAACCACAAUGGGAAAGAGUAUGAUAAAGAAUACAUACGUAUAGAGGUAUCUGAAUCACUUUGCUGUACACCAGAAACUAACACAACACUGUAAAUGAACUAUAUUGAAAUAAAAAAAAAUUAAAAACAAACAAAUAAAAAAAUCUUUUUCUUCUACCCAGCAACUUGGAGAUGGUCGUAGGACAUUAGUACAAUCUUCCCAGGUUGCUGGCCUCCUGAAUAAAGAACUUUUUCCUUUUUAGCCAACAGCCGUCUCUCCAGCAUUAGUCUUUCCAACAGUGAGCAGCUGAACGUGGGUUUUGUAUCCGCCUCCUCGAGUUACACUCCUGGGUUAAACACAGUCACUGACUACAAUAGGCAGGGAUGUUUACUCUGGGAGCUGCAGCCGAGCUCCACACUUGACAACUUGCUCAGGUCGCUCAACAUCCCUCCCCUAUUUUCUCCAAUAUGACCCUGUCUGGAGUUUUGUCUCUCUUGUCAUUGCCCAAAUACACUGUACCCCACAAAAUUAACUUUGAAGAGAAAUAAGAUUUUACUAGCUUCCAGGUAAUAGGCGUAUGCACUGAGGACUGACAAGAUUCCUUGUGUCUUGAUUUUGUAGCUUUGCGAAGUAUCUGAAUAAAAUAUCUCUAAACAUUCCUGUGAUCGGUUGCAGACUACACUCCACGGAAAUCUUCGUUCGUCCCUUUAAAUGAAGUGAGACCCCAUCCCUACAUGGGUCCUUGCGGGCACCACUUCGGUGAGCCUCUCGCUUGGGGGAUCUUGGCCUGGGCCCAGAGGUCUGGAGAGGGGGCCCCUAGCCAAGCUCCAUCGGCCCAGCGGGAACUACAUUACCCAGACGUCUCUGCGCCGCGCGUCCACGGCACUGCGCCAAUGAAGGCCAAGGAGAAAGCCGCUUUAAAUACUUUGCGCAACCUGUUCUGGCGGGGUUUCCGGCGUCCACCUGAAGAGGGUCACUUUGGCGACCUUUGGGUCGGUCCGGUUGAUCCAGUUCUGCACUCUUGGUCCGGCCUGAGACAGUGGAGCAUUCUUGGGUGAAGUCCCGAUUUCUGACACCCACCGUGAUGAGAAAACUGUUACAUGCAGAGGGACCAGCAUGUGCUGAGCAAUGGAAUCGCGACUGAGGAGCAUGCGGGAAACAUUGUGAAUGGACAAGCCGUAUGUGGAAUGGUAGCUGCCUCAGCAGCUUGGCCAACAUUCUGAAGGCGUUGGAGGGUUGUGAGCACAGAGACUAGAUCUGAGUUUCCAUGGUUUCAGAAGCAUUUAUGAGCCAUGCACAGGCCUGCAGUUCCUCUUGCUUCUGGUGUCUUCUCCUUGGUGGGUGGAGCUGGAUUUUGUUCUUCUGGGGGUCAGGACUAUGUCAAGAGGUAUGUUUAAAGGUGACUGCAAGCUUGUCUGUGUUUAAUUUUGGGGGGGUGGUUGUUUAAUGGAUGUCUCUCAGUUUUCCUCUUUGCAUGCCAGCCUCUAUCCCUCUGAUAGGAGGUGUAACUGAUGGUGUGGUGACCAGAACCUCUGCCGGAUAUUGAGUUGGGCCUCCCCUUUGCUCUGUGGUUGUCAAUGGCCCUUCAGGGGCAGGGUCUGCUCCCUAAUGAUUGGAACAGUAGCCCCCAGAUAUUCCUGAGCUAUAUGUUUUUUGGUUGUGGCACGAGGUAGGUAGGAUUGGAGCACUCCCACUAGGAGGAGCCCCCUCAGGGUUCCUCCACUGGAGCUGUUCACAGUUUGCUCUGUUGUGUCACCUUUCACCCCUUGUGUGGAUUCACAGAGUACACCACUGGCACCACUGCUAUGCCAGGGUAUAAUUGGCCCUGGUGUUUCCCAGGCAUUGGUUUCAUCUGCCCACCAGUGCAGAUCUACUGAGGUCAGGUCCAAGAUUGCAGUGGUUGUGUACCUGGCCCACUGUGGGCUCUAUGGAGAAAGCCUAGACUCUGUUCCAGAUCUAAAUUACAUGCUUGCAAAGCCCACAGCUGCUAAAGCCAGACCUGUCUGAGCUGUGGGGGCUUAUUGUCCAUUUGGAUAUUCCACAAGUGCUGAAUUUACAAAGCUGCGAGUGGAGAUGUAAAUCUGUUGUUCACAAGGCUGGGAGGAGUGACUGCAGUUCAUCCUCAGUUGGAGAACCCGGAGUCAAGUGUGGUUUCAGCCCCCUCUCUGUGUGGGCAACACACUGGAGACUCCUCCCAAGGCAGCAGGAGCUCAGGAGCCUAUCCAGGUGGGAAGAGGAUGGGGCAGCAUCUGGUUGUACAAGCCUACCCAGAAGGGAGGUGGGCUGGGGAUCAGGCUCUCAGGCUCACUCUGGCAGGAGUGGGCUUGCCUGAGUUUGUGCUGAGUGAAUCUGCCCCUAGUGUAAGCAGGCUGGAGUCAGGUAAUGGAAAUUCACUCCAGUGGCAGAGCUGGCACAAUGGUCUUGGUGGGCAGGCCAGCCCUAUUGCAGCCUCUCCUAGGCUGCAGGGGCCUCCAUGUGCAAGGGGGCUACAGUGGUUGCUCCUUGCACAUCAUCCAGUAAUGAUGCUCCGUCUCUGUGGCUGUCUGGGCCUACCCCCGGAACCUUUGCAGCUAUGGUGCUUUGCCCUCCCACCCCUUCCAGUUGCCUCUGCCUAGCCAACUGCAGUUCUGUCCCUGGGCCUGCUCUCCAAACGUGACACUCCAGGCCCGGGCCCCUGCCCACAUCAGUGGUUGGGAGUCUCAGGCUGGGGCACACAAGGCUGUGACAAGGAUAUCAGUCUAGGUCUCACUGUCCCACCUGCUGUAGACCAGCUGCUGUGUUUUUUUCUCUGAGCCUCCAAAGGACCUUUCCUGUCCCAGCUGACCCCUCUGCUGGUGAGGUGACUUCCCCAGGUAUAGGAACCUCUCUUCCCCUUCAGCUCCCUCCCUGGGGUACAGGUGCUGACUUGUUUCCAUUUCUCAUCUCUUUUUUUUUUUUCCCCCUUUCAUAGAAGAUCCCUCUUGUACUUUCAGGUGUUUUGAGUUUUUCUGUCGGUGUUCAGUCACUGUCCCCUAAGGAGUGUUCCACUUGUAGAUGUAUUCCCAGUGUAUUUGUGGGAAGAGGUGAUCUUCAUUUAUCUCUCUCCUUCAUGAGUUUCCAGUAACCAGUCCUCCAUAUUGUUUCCUUAAAAAGUACAAGCCUGUGAGAAGUAGUUCUGGCUUUUCAAGGAACAUGCACUCGGGGAUACCAAGGGGCAAAAAAGAACAUGGAUGCCAGUUUUCCAGGUGCCUCAAGAGUCUUAUACAUCUAUGUGUAAUGAUGCACAUGUGCAGGAGUUCUACUUGUAAUUCUUUUUAUGAGCGAGCAGAAUGACUAGAUUGAAGACACCUAUUUACAGAGCAUUUACAUUGUAUUAGGCAUUAUAGGUAAUCUGCAGAUGGUUUCAAGUACUAGGAGGAAAGUCAUAGGUUAUACCCAAGUACAAUGCUAUUUCUAUAUAAGGGGAUUGAGCAUCUGCAGAAUUUGGUAUCUGCAGGAAUUCCUAGAACCAAUCCCUUGCAAAUACGAAUGGACAACUAUAUUUGGCAACCAGGAUCUAGGUGCUGGGAGGGUUUGUUGCUGCAGUGUUGCUUCUAGACCCUCUCAGAACAGACCUGAGGAAUAUAGGUGUGUAUGAUUAUUUCUCAGCUCUAGUCAAGUACAACAUGAUUCCUCCUAGUUUUCCAUCCUUAUUUAUAACUUCUUUUUCUGACCAUGACAAAACUGGCUUCCAUUAUCUAUAAUUUAUUGACUUAGUUUCUCAACUUGAUUAUAAAUGUAAAGUAGCAUCCCUGGGAAAUUAAUUUAUCUACUAGACUAUACUGUUUAUGAACAAUUUUUUUGUCUUUCACUUUAUAGUUUGCAGUCAAAACACCUGGCUGCUUGUUCACUGCCUGCCCCAGUGCCAACUGGAGCACAUGCAUAUGACGGGCCCCCAACACUGUACAAAUUCCCACAACUAGUUUUUUAACUGUGCCACAUCCAUGCUGCUCCCCAGCCAGCACAGAUGCAUGCAGCUGGUCUUGACUCCCAUUUUUGGCUUUCACUGUGGCAUGCAUGCAUACAGGCUGCCUACCAUGGACCCAACACUGGCCUAUAUGCCACAGUUACACACCUGCACCUGGUCCUUGUGACUGUACACAUAUAUGCCAAGAGCUUCAGUCGUCCAGCUACACAUAUACCCCCGGUCAUUAUGCGUGUGCCUGCAGUUGAACCUUGCUACCAUACACACAUCUGUAGCCAGCCCACAGCUGAGCACAUGUCCAUCUCAGGCCCUUGCCACCAAUGCCACCUGCCCUGGUCCUCCACUACUGGAGGCACUGAUGAGGACCCUAAAAGCCCUUGCAAAUCUCUUUGAACCUGUCAGCUCUUGCUGCUAAGGACCAGAAAGUUGCACACCAAAGCUGCCUGAACCUACAAGACACCACACUGCCCCAGCCAUGGAGCCCACCACACCCUGCCCAGACUUGUUUCCCCAGGCCACUACCCUGGGGACCACAGUGUGCUCCAGCACUAGCAUCUGUCCCCCAACCCACAGGUGAAGGCUUUUCCGUACUAAAGCCAGUCCAUGAAGUCUGGAUGAAGUGAAUGUUUCUUCAAAUGUCCAGACACAUGCAAAACUACAAGGAUCACAAAGUAUUAGGGAAACAUGACAUCACCACAAGUACAUAGUAAGCUUCCAGUAACUGACACUAAAGAAAUGGAGAUCUGUGAACUGCCUGACAAAAUUAAAAAUCAUUAUACUAAAGAUACUCAGAGAGCUACAAGAGAACAUAAACCAUUUGAUGAAAUCAGAAAUACAAGAACAAAAUGAGAAGUUCAACAAACAGAAAAAAGAACCAGAUAGUUUGGAGCUAAAGAAUACAGCGAAUGAAGUAAAAUAUGCAACAGAGAGAGCUGCAACAGAAGCCUCCAUUAAGUCGAGGAAGCAAACGGACACCACCUAGAUCUGUCAGAGAUGGGGAUAUCUAGGUACAUAAAGCUCAGAGGUCCCAGUCAGGUUCAACCCAAAUAAGAUUUCACUGAUACACCACCUUAAAAUCAAACUACCAAAAUUCCAAGACAGAAUUUUGAAAGCAGCAAGAGGAAAGAGGCUCAUCACAUGCAAGGGAACAUCCCCCAUCUCCCCACAUAGAGCUCUGUAGUUUUCAGCAGAAACUCUGAAGCCUAAAGAGAGUGGGUAGAUAAUAUUCAAAAUGCUGGGGGGAAAACAGACUAACCCAGCAAAGCUGUUCUUCAGAACUGAAGCAGAGAUAUUCUCAGUCAAACAAAAGAUAAAGAAGUUCAUCAACACCGGUCCUGCCCUAAAAGAUAUUUUAACAGGAGUUCUUUGAGCUGGAAAAAAAAAUGACACUGGUCAGUAACAUGUAAACAUAUGAAAGUAAAAACUCAUCGGUAAAGGUGAAAAUAUAGUCAGGCUCAGAAGACUUUAAUAUGGUAAAGAUGUAAAUUAUUGUUUAACAAAAUAAUCAAAAGUCCAAAGUAUUAAAAAUAACUAGCUAUUAAAGGAUAUACAAUAUAAAAAGGUGUAAACUGUGAUAUCAAAAAAAAAAAAAGCCCAUAAAAAGGACAAGGUGUAAAAAUGUAGAGCUUUUGUAUGUGAUGAAAGUUAGGUUGUUAUCCACUUAAAAUACUCUUAGAGCUAUAAGACUAUAAGACAUGUUAUGUACAAUGUUUUAUGUAAGCCAUAUGGUAAGCACAAGAGAAAAGUCUAUAGUAGGCACAUAACAGUAAAGACAAAUGAAGCAAAAUGUAACACUGUAGCAAGUUCCCAGAUCCCAACAGAAGACCUGGAGGGAAGAGGAGAGAAGCAAAGAUUAUAGGGAACACCCAUUUAACAAAAUGGCAGUAUUACUGUCAAGGAUACUUUAAAGGAAGGGAUGGAAAAAGAUAUUCUAUGUAACUAGCAAACGAAAGAAAGCAGCAGUAGUUAUACAGACCAUAUAAUAUAGACUUUAAGUCAAAACUGUAGAGAUAAUGAUAAAGGAGUCAGUUCAACAGGGGAAAUAAUUAUAACUAUAUACGCAUGCAACAUUGGAACACCUAGAUAUAUAAAACAAAACUGGGGGCAUCCAAUUUCCUCAUUUCAAAACAGAGUACCAAAUUACAGUAUCAAAACAGUAGAAACACAGGCAGAAGAAAAAUGGAACAAAAUAGCAGAAAUAAACACAAACAUUUAUAUUUAACUGAUCUUCAAUAAGUGUGCCAAGAAUAUACAACAGAAGAAAGGAUAGUCCUUUCAAUAAAUGGUGUUGGGAAAUCUGGAUAUCUUCAUGCAAAACAAUAACAACAGCAACAACAAAACGGACUUCUGCCUCAUACCAUCACAAAAAAUAAACAAAAUGGAUUAAAGAUUCAAUUGUUACAUCUGAAAUGGUAAAACUCCUAGAAUAAGCAGGGGAAAACCUUUCUUUUUUUUUCAGUUGGAGAGAACAUGGUUUAAUUAAAGGCAAAGCUGAUUUCAGCAGCUGCAGGGCUUGCACAGACAGGCCAAAACAAAAUGGAAAAAAA